RNAcentral lists this ribosomal RNA (437 nucleotides) under uncultured Clostridium sp. RNAcentral describes it as "partial 16S ribosomal RNA". It matches the Rfam family "Bacterial small subunit ribosomal RNA", at positions 341 to 792 of the family's 1533-position model. The record is from RNAcentral. Lineage: Bacteria; Bacillati; Bacillota; Clostridia; Eubacteriales; Clostridiaceae.
ACGGAAGGCAGCAGUGGGGGAUAUUGCACAAUGGGGGAAACCCUGAUGCAGCAACGCCGCGUGUGGGAUGAAGGUUUUCGGAUUGUAAACCACUGUUCUUAGCGAAGAAAUAAAUGACGGUAACUAAGAAGAAAGCUCCGGCUAACUACGUGCCAGCAGCCGCGGUAAUACGUAGGGAGCGAGCGUUGUCCGGAUUUACUGGGUGUAAAGGGUGCGUAGGCGGCUCUGCAAGUCAGAAGUGAAAGCCCCAGGCUCAACCUGGGAACUGCUUUUGAAACUGUGGGGCUUGAGUGAAGUAGAGGCAGGCGGAAUUCCCGGUGUAGCGGUGAAAUGCGUAGAGAUCGGGGGGAACACCAGUGGCGAAGGCGGCCUGCUGGGCUUUAACUGACGCUGAGGCACGAAAGCGUGGGGAGCAAACAGGAUUAGAUACCCUGGUA